This 1667-nucleotide ribosomal RNA is filed under the name Conioscypha varia. RNAcentral's name for it is "SSU rRNA". It matches the Rfam family "Eukaryotic small subunit ribosomal RNA". Lineage: Eukaryota; Fungi; Ascomycota; Sordariomycetes; Conioscyphales; Conioscyphaceae. The record is from RNAcentral.
AAACUGCGAAUGGCUCAUUAUAUAAGUUAUCGUUUAUUUGAUAGUGCCUGUCCUACAUGGAUAACAGUGGUAAUUCUAGAGCUAAUACAUGCCAAACAUCCCGACUUCGGAAGGGACGUAUUUAUUAGAAUCAGAACCAAUGCCCUUCGGGGUUUCUUGGUGAUUCAUGAUAACUCCACAGAUCGCAUGGCCUUGCGCCGGCGAUGGCUCAUUCAAAUUUCUUCCCUAUCAACUUUCGACGGUACGGUCUUGGCCUACCGUGGUUGCAACGGGUGACGGAGGGUUAGGGCUCGACCCCGGAGAAGGAGCCUGAGAAACGGCUACUACAUCCAAGGAAGGCAGCAGGCGCGCAAAUUAUCCAAUCCCGACACGGGGAGAUAGUGACAAUAAAUACCGAUACAGGGCUCUUUUGGGCCCCGUAAUUGGAAUGAGUACAAUUUAAACCUCUUAACGAGGAACAAUUGGAGGGCAAGUCUGGUGCCAGCAGCCGCGGUAAUUCCAGCUCCAAUAGCGUAUAUUAAAGUUGUUGUGGUUAAAAAGCUCGUAGUCGAACCUCGGGCCUGGCCGGCCGGUCCGCCUCACCGCGUGCACUGGUCUGGCCGGGCUCUUCCCUCUGCGGAACCGCAUGCCCUUCACUGGGCGUGUCGGGAGGCAGGACUUUUACUUUGAAAAAAUUAGAGUGCUCAAGGCAGGCCAAUGCUCGAAUACAUUAGCAUGGAAUAAUAAAAUAGGACGUUGGUUCUAUUUUGUUGGUUUCUAGGACCGCCGUAAUGAUCAAUAGGGACGGUCGGGGGCAUCAGUAUUCAGCCGUCAGAGGUGAAAUUCUUGGACCGGCUGAAGACUAACUACUGCGAAAGCAUUUGCCAAGGACGUUUUCGCUGAUCAGGAACGAAAGUUAGGGGAUCGAAGACGAUCAGAUACCGUCGUAGUCUUAACCAUAAACUAUGCCGACUAGGGAUCGGACGGCGUUCUUUCUAGACCCGUUCGGCACCUUUCGAGAAAUCAAAGUGCUUGGGCUCCAGGGGGAGUAUGGCGGCAACGCUGAAACUUAAAGAAAUUGACGGAAGGGCACCACCAGGGGUGGAACCUGCGGCUUAAUUUGACUCAACACGGGGAAACUCACCAGGUCCGGACACAGUGAGGAUUGACAGAUUGAGAGCUCUUUCUUGAUUCUGUGGGUGGUGGUGCAUGGCCGUUCUUAGUUGGUGGGGUGACUUGUCUGCCUAAUCGCGAUAACGAACGAGACCUUGACUCCUAAAUAGCUCGCACCGCCUCGGCGGGUUGCGGCUUCUUAGUGGGACUAUCGGCUCAAGCCGAUGGAAGUUCGAGGCAAUAACAGGUCUGUGAUGCCCUUAGAUGUCCUGGGCCGCACGCGCGUUACACUGACAGAGCCAGCGAGUUUUCCCUUGGCCGGAAGGCCCGGGUAAUCUUGUGAAACUCCGUCGUGCUGGGGAUAGAGCAUUGCAAUUGUUGCUCUUCAACGAGGAAUCCCUAGUAAGCGCAAGUCAUCAGCUUGCGUUGAUUACGUCCCUGCCCUUUGUACACACCGCCCGUCGCUACUACCGAUUGAAUGGCUCAGUGAGGUCUUCGGACUGGCCCAGGGAGGCGGGCGACUGCCACCCACGGCCGGAAAGUUGCCCAAACUCGGUCAUUUAGAGGAAGUAAAA